RNAcentral lists this transfer-messenger RNA (209 nucleotides) under Bacilli bacterium. RNAcentral describes it as "partial transfer-messenger RNA". It matches the Rfam family "transfer-messenger RNA", at positions 1 to 223 of the family's 374-position model. From Rfam's summary of the family: Bacterial tmRNA, also known as 10Sa RNA or SsrA, is named for its dual tRNA and mRNA-like properties. Its role is to liberate the mRNA from a stalled ribosome. The record is from RNAcentral. Lineage: Bacteria; Bacillati; Bacillota; Bacilli.
GGGGCUGUCACGGUUUCGACAGGAUUAGAAAGGCAAGAACGGCAAGUAGAUGGCAAUCUUAAAAUGCGUCAGUUAAAUAUAACUGGAAACAAUUAUCAAAUGGCUUACGCUGCUUAAUAAAGCAUAUAGCGUAGCGCUUCUUUAAAAGUUGUACCUACCGAUUUUUUUAGAGGCUCGAUUUUAGUAGGUUAUAUUAUCAUGAUGUCUAU